AAGCAAGUACACUUCAUCAGGUCAGAGUAUUAAUAUACGUGUCAAAGUAAGUACACUUCAUCAGGCCAGAGUAUCAGCAUACGUGUCAAAGUAAAUACACUUCAUCAGGUCAGAGUAUUAAUAUACGUGUCAAAGUAAGUACACUUCAUCAGGUCAGAGUAUUAAUAUACGUGUCAAAUUAAGUACACUUCAUCAGGCCAGAGUAUCAGCAUACGUGUCAAAGUAAGUACACUUCAUCAGGUCAGAGUAUUAAUAUACGUGUCAAAGUAAGUACACUUCAACAGGUCAGAGUAUUAAUAUACGUGUCAAAGUAAGUACACUUCAUCAGGCCAGAGUAUCAGCAUACGUGUCAAAGUAAGUACACUUCAUCAGGUCAGAGUAUCAGCAUACGUGUCAAAGUAAGUACACUUCAUCAGCUCAGAGUAUCAGUAUAAAGUAUUAGUAUACGUGCUGUAGUACG
Long non-coding RNA from Epinephelus moara (kelp grouper), 460 nucleotides. RefSeq lists it as uncharacterized. The record is from RefSeq and is a predicted model, not a curated record. NCBI's taxonomy places the organism in Eukaryota, Metazoa, Chordata, Actinopteri, Perciformes, Serranidae. The transcript is spliced from 3 exons.